Phragmites australis (common reed) is the source of this 900-nucleotide long non-coding RNA. RefSeq lists it as uncharacterized. The record is from RefSeq and is a predicted model, not a curated record. Lineage: Eukaryota; Viridiplantae; Streptophyta; Magnoliopsida; Poales; Poaceae. The transcript is spliced from 5 exons.
CUCCCCUCCGCUUCAUCUUCCCUUCCCCUCUCCCCUAAACCCUAGCCCCUCUAAUCUCAAAUCCGCUCUUCUCCGCGUCGAUCGCUGCCGCGAUCCGAUCCGCCGUCGCCUGAGCCGCGCUGUACAUGACCAUGGUUGUCCCUCUCGUCCCCGAGCCGCCGCCGCAGGACCAGGAUGAGGAGAUGCUGGUCCCGCACCAGUAUGUUGUUGAGGGUCCGCGGCCGAUGGAAGGAAUUUUAUCGUGAGGAAAAGCACUCCCAACUGAGGUCAUUUGGAUAGAUUCUGCCAUGAGCGUUGACAUUGGACAUGGAGUCACAAAUGACUGGAGAGUUGGAUGAAAAGGUGCGUGAUGCAUUCCAUCUUUACAUUGAAGCCUGUGGCAUAAAUGAGAAGCUCUUCCCUUUUCUACAAGCUUGGCUUUAUGUAAAGGAUCACCGCAACCUCAUACGCUGGUUCAAGAGUGUUGUUUCAUUCAUCAGUGAGCCAAAGCCAAAAUAAGAUGUCAAGAAUGCCAUGCUCAAGAUUAUCUGGAGGGCGGUUGAGGAAAGGUUUUUGCCAGGAUGGAGAAUAGUGCUAGGGUAAAGUGAAUUCAGUACAAGAUGCUGUGCCAUGGAGGAGUUUUUGCUUCUGAUAAUGUCACUGGCGUGCUUAAUGGGUUGGAUGGUGGCUCAUGAGUUGUCGUUAUUCCUUGUGAUUUGCCGCCCCGUCUUGCUGAGGUGGUUGUCAGAUUCUCAAUUAUUCAAGCUCCACACUUGUCCAAGAUAAAAGAUAUCGAUCCUGCAAAGACUCAUGUGUCCAAUUGAGAUCUUCACUUUUCUUCCUUACGCUGGUAUGUUUGUGGCUGUAACUUUCAAGUGACAAGAUCAUAACAAAGUCCGACUGUGCGUUUGUUUUGGUGCA